This 429-nucleotide ribosomal RNA is filed under the name Acidobacteriota bacterium. RNAcentral describes it as "Acidobacteria bacterium partial 16S ribosomal RNA". It matches the Rfam family "Bacterial small subunit ribosomal RNA", at positions 355 to 776 of the family's 1533-position model. Lineage: Bacteria; Pseudomonadati; Acidobacteriota. The record is from RNAcentral.
UGGGGAAUUUUGGACAAUGGGGGAAACCCUGAUCCAGCCAUCCCGCGUGUGCGAUGAAGGCCUUCGGGUUGUAAAGCACUUUUGGCAGGAAAGAAACGUCAUGGGUUAAUACCCCGUGAAACUGACGGUACCUGCAGAAUAAGCACCGGCUAACUACGUGCUAGCAGCCGCGGUAAUACGUAGGGUGCAAGCGUUAAUCGGAAUUACUGGGCGUAAAGCGUGCGCAGGCGGUUCGGAAAGAAAGAUGUGAAAUCCCGGAGCUCAACUUUGGAACUGCAUUUUUAACUACCGGGCUAGAGUGUGUCAGAGGGAGGUGGAAUUCCGCGUGUAGCAGUGAAAUGCGUAGAUAUGCGGAGGAACACCGAUGGCGAAGGCAGCCUCCUGGGAUAACACUGACGCUCAUGCACGAAAGCGUGGGGAGCAAACAGG